RNAcentral lists this ribosomal RNA (277 nucleotides) under uncultured bacterium. RNAcentral's name for it is "partial 16S ribosomal RNA". It matches the Rfam family "Bacterial small subunit ribosomal RNA", at positions 30 to 299 of the family's 1533-position model. The record is from RNAcentral.
AUUGAACGCUGGCGGCAGGCCUAACACAUGCAAGUCGAGCGGCAUCAGGGGGUAGCUUAGGCUACGUUGCUGGCGAGCGGCGGACGGGUGAGUAAAGUCUGGGUAUCUGCCUGAGGGAGGGGGAUAACUACUGGAAACGGUAGCUAAUACCGCAUGAAGUCGAAUGACUAAAGUGAGGGACCUACGGGCCUCACGCCCUGAGAGGAGCCCAGAUGGGAUUAGCUAGUAGGUGGGGUAAAUGCUCACCUAGGCGACGAUCCCUAGCUGGUCUGAGAGG